GUGAACAACCAGUUGAAGAUCUUCACCCCGGUCGGGAUGGCGAUAAUCAUGGUGGUGAUACCGAAGAAGGCGUUAACGUUCGCGCCUGCGCCCAUCGUGAAGAAGUGGUGCAGCCAAACGAUAAACGACAGUACGGUAAUACAGACGGUCGCCCAAACCAGCGAGGUAUAGCCGAACAGACGUUUACGCGAGAAGGUCGCUGCGAUUUCGGAGAAUACCCCGAAGACCGGCAGAAUCAGAAUGUACACUUCCGGAUGGCCCCAGGCC
RNAcentral lists this unclassified non-coding RNA (267 nucleotides) under uncultured fungus. Its description in RNAcentral is "partial internal transcribed spacer 1". Lineage: Eukaryota; Fungi. The record is from RNAcentral.